AGGACGAACGCUGGCGGCGUGCUUAACACAUGCAAGUCGAACGGUAAGGCCCCUUCGGGGGUACACGAGUGGCGAACGGGUGAGUAACACGUGGGUAAUCUGCCCUCGCACUUCGGGAUAAGCCUAGGGAAACUGGGUCUAAUACCGGAUAUGAACUCCUGCCGACAUUGGUGGGGGUUGGAAAGUUUUUCGGUGCAGGAUGAGCCCGCGGCCUAUCAGCUUGUUGGUGGGUAAUGGCCUACCAAGGCGACGACGGGUAGCCGGCCUGAGAGGGUGAUCGGCCACACUGGGACUGAGACACGGCCCAGACUCCUACGGGAGGCAGCAGUGGGGAAUAUUGCACAAUGGGCGAAAGCCUGAUGCAGCGACGCCGCGUGGGGAUGACGGUCUUCGGAGUUGUAAAACCCCUUUCAGUUAGGGACGAAGCGACAAGUGACGGUACCUGACAGAAGAAGCACGGCUAACACGU
Molecule: ribosomal RNA, 469 nt
Filed under: uncultured soil bacterium
Lineage: Bacteria
Description: bacterial SSU rRNA
Rfam family: Bacterial small subunit ribosomal RNA
Source: RNAcentral